This 301-nucleotide ribosomal RNA is filed under the name uncultured bacterium. RNAcentral's name for it is "partial 16S ribosomal RNA". It matches the Rfam family "Bacterial small subunit ribosomal RNA", at positions 509 to 807 of the family's 1533-position model. The record is from RNAcentral.
CAGUCGCCGCGGUAAUACGAAGGGUGCAAGCGUUAAUCGGAAUUACUGGGCGUAAAGCGUGCGUAGGUGGUGGUUUAAGUCCGUUGUGAAAGCCCUGGGCUCAACCUGGGAAUUGCAGUGGAUACUGGGUCACUAGAGUGUGGUAGAGGAUAGUGGAAUUUCCGGUGUAGCAGUGAAAUGCGUAGAGAUCGGAAGGAACAUCUGUGGCGGAGGCGACUAUCUGGGCCAACACUGACACUGAGGCACGAAAGCGUGGGGAGCAAACAGGAUUAGAUACCCCAGUAGUCCCUGUCUCUUAUAC